GACAGAGGUCCCAAGCGUUGUCCGGAUUUACUGGGCGUAAAGCGUGCGUAGGCGGUCGCAUAAGUCUGAUGUGAAAUCCUGAGGCCUAACCUCAGAACUGCAUCGGAUACUGUGCGACUCGGAGACUGGAGAGGAGACUGGAAUUGUCGGUGUAGCGGUGAAAUGCGUAGAUAUCGACAGGAACACCUGUGGCGAAAGCGGGUCUCUGGACAGUUCUCGACGCUGAUAGCACGAAAGCCAGGGGA
RNAcentral lists this ribosomal RNA (245 nucleotides) under uncultured bacterium. RNAcentral's name for it is "partial 16S ribosomal RNA". It matches the Rfam family "Bacterial small subunit ribosomal RNA", at positions 524 to 767 of the family's 1533-position model. The record is from RNAcentral.